RNAcentral lists this ribosomal RNA (2807 nucleotides) under Escherichia coli. Its description in RNAcentral is "partial 23S ribosomal RNA". It matches the Rfam family "Bacterial large subunit ribosomal RNA". The record is from RNAcentral. Lineage: Bacteria; Pseudomonadati; Pseudomonadota; Gammaproteobacteria; Enterobacterales; Enterobacteriaceae.
GGUUAAGCGACUAAGCGUACACGGUGGAUGCCCUGGCAGUCAGAGGCGAUGAAGGACGUGCUAAUCUGCGAUAAGCGUCGGUAAGGUGAUAUGAACCGUUAUAACCGGCGAUUUCCGAAUGGGGAAACCCAGUGUGAUUCGUCACACUAUCAUUAACUGAAUCCAUAGGUUAAUGAGGCGAACCGGGGGAACUGAAACAUCUAAGUACCCCGAGGAAAAGAAAUCAACCGAGAUUCCCCCAGUAGCGGCGAGCGAACGGGGAGGAGCCCAGAGCCUGAAUCAGUGUGUGUGUUAGUGGAAGCGUCUGGAAAGGCGCGCGAUACAGGGUGACAGCCCCGUACACAAAAAUGCACAUGCUGUGAGCUCGAUGAGUAGGGCGGGACACGUGGUAUCCUGUCUGAAUAUGGGGGGACCAUCCUCCAAGGCUAAAUACUCCUGACUGACCGAUAGUGAACCAGUACCGUGAGGGAAAGGCGAAAAGAACCCCGGCGAGGGGAGUGAAAAAGAACCUGAAACCGUGUACGUACAAGCAGUGGGAGCACGCUUCGGCGUGUGACUGCGUACCUUUUGUAUAAUGGGUCAGCGACUUAUAUUCUGUAGCAAGGUUAACCGAAUAGGGGAGCCGAAGGGAAACCGAGUCUUAACUGGGCGUUAAGUUGCAGGGUAUAGACCCGAAACCCGGUGAUCUAGCCAUGGGCAGGUUGAAGGUUGGGUAACACUAACUGGAGGACCGAACCGACUAAUGUUGAAAAAUUAGCGGAUGACUUGUGGCUGGGGGUGAAAGGCCAAUCAAACCGGGAGAUAGCUGGUUCUCCCCGAAAGCUAUUUAGGUAGCGCCUCGUGAAUUCAUCUCCGGGGGUAGAGCACUGUUUCGGCAAGGGGGUCAUCCCGACUUACCAACCCGAUGCAAACUGCGAAUACCGGAGAAUGUUAUCACGGGAGACACACGGCGGGUGCUAACGUCCGUCGUGAAGAGGGAAACAACCCAGACCGCCAGCUAAGGUCCCAAAGUCAUGGUUAAGUGGGAAACGAUGUGGGAAGGCCCAGACAGCCAGGAUGUUGGCUUAGAAGCAGCCAUCAUUUAAAGAAAGCGUAAUAGCUCACUGGUCGAGUCGGCCUGCGCGGAAGAUGUAACGGGGCUAAACCAUGCACCGAAGCUGCGGCAGCGACACUAUGUGUUGUUGGGUAGGGGAGCGUUCUGUAAGCCUGUGAAGGUGUACUGUGAGGUAUGCUGGAGGUAUCAGAAGUGCGAAUGCUGACAUAAGUAACGAUAAAGCGGGUGAAAAGCCCGCUCGCCGGAAGACCAAGGGUUCCUGUCCAACGUUAAUCGGGGCAGGGUGAGUCGACCCCUAAGGCGAGGCCGAAAGGCGUAGUCGAUGGGAAACAGGUUAAUAUUCCUGUACUUGGUGUUACUGCGAAGGGGGGACGGAGAAGGCUAUGUUGGCCGGGCGACGGUUGUCCCGGUUUAAGCGUGUAGGCUGGUUUUCCAGGCAAAUCCGGAAAAUCAAGGCUGAGGCGUGAUGACGAGGCACUACGGUGCUGAAGCAACAAAUGCCCUGCUUCCAGGAAAAGCCUCUAAGCAUCAGGUAACAUCAAAUCGUACCCCAAACCGACACAGGUGGUCAGGUAGAGAAUACCAAGGCGCUUGAGAGAACUCGGGUGAAGGAACUAGGCAAAAUGGUGCCGUAACUUCGGGAGAAGGCACGCUGAUAUGUAGGUGAAGNNNNNNNNNNNNNNNNNNNNNNNNNNNNNNNNNNNNNNNNNNNNNNNNNNNNNNNNNNNNNNNNNNNNNNNNNNNNNNNNNNNNNNNNNNNNNGCGAAGCUCUUGAUCGAAGCCCCGGUAAACGGCGGCCGUAACUAUAACGGUCCUAAGGUAGCGAAAUUCCUUGUCGGGUAAGUUCCGACCUGCACGAAUGGCGUAAUGAUGGCCAGGCUGUCUCCACCCGAGACUCAGUGAAAUUGAACUCGCUGUGAAGAUGCAGUGUACCCGCGGCAAGACGGAAAGACCCCGUGAACCUUUACUAUAGCUUGACACUGAACAUUGAGCCUUGAUGUGUAGGAUAGGUGGGAGGCUUUGAAGUGUGGACGCCAGUCUGCAUGGAGCCGACCUUGAAAUACCACCCUUUAAUGUUUGAUGUUCUAACGUUGGCCCGUUAUCCGGGUUGCGGACAGUGUCUGGUGGGUAGUUUGACUGGGGCGGUCUCCUCCUAAAGAGUAACGGAGGAGCACGAAGGUUGGCUAAUCCUGGUCGGACAUCAGGAGGUUAGUGCAAUGGCAUAAGCCAGCUUGACUGCGAGCGUGACGGCGCGAGCAGGUGCGAAAGCAGGUCAUAGUGAUCCGGUGGUUCUGAAUGGAAGGGCCAUCGCUCAACGGAUAAAAGGUACUCCGGGGAUAACAGGCUGAUACCGCCCAAGAGUUCAUAUCGACGGCGGUGUUUGGCACCUCGAUGUCGGCUCAUCACAUCCUGGGGCUGAAGUAGGUCCCAAGGGUAUGGCUGUUCGCCAUUUAAAGUGGUACGCGAGCUGGGUUUAGAACGUCGUGAGACAGUUCGGUCCCUAUCUGCCGUGGGCGCUGGAGAACUGAGGGGGGCUGCUCCUAGUACGAGAGGACCGGAGUGGACGCAUCACUGGUGUUCGGGUUGUCAUGCCAAUGGCACUGCCCGGUAGCUAAAUGCGGAAGAGAUAAGUGCUGAAAGCAUCUAAGCACGAAACUUGCCCCGAGAUCAGUUCUCACUGACUCCCUGAGAGACCUGAAGGAACGUUGAAGACGACGACGUUGAUAGGCCGCGUGUGUAAGCGCAGCGAUGC